RNAcentral lists this non-coding RNA (37 nucleotides) under Neotamlana nanhaiensis. RNAcentral's name for it is "S16-Flavobacteria ribosomal protein leader". It matches the Rfam family "S16-Flavobacteria ribosomal protein leader". Lineage: Bacteria; Pseudomonadati; Bacteroidota; Flavobacteriia; Flavobacteriales; Flavobacteriaceae. The record is from RNAcentral.
AUUAAUAACCCGAGGUCGCGAACCUCAAUUAAUUAAU